AACGAACGCUGGCGGCAUGCCUAACACAUGCAAGUCGAACGAGACCUUCGGGACUAGUGGCGCACGGGUGCGGAACGCGGGGGAAGCGGCCCUUAGGUACGGAAUAACUCCCCGAAAGGGGGGCUAAUACCGGAUAAUGUCUUCGGACCAAAGAUUUAUCGCCUUUGGAUGGGCCCGCGUUGGAUGAGCUAGGUGGUAGGGUAAAAGCCUACCAAGGCGACGAUCCCUAGCUGGUCUGAGAGGAGGAUCCGCCACCCUGGGACUGAGACACGGCCCAGACUCCUACGGGAGGCAGCCGUGGGGAAUAUUGGACAAUGGGCGAAAGCCUGAUCCAGCAAUGCCGCGUGAGUGCUGAAGGCCUUAGGGUUGUAAAGCUCUUUUACCCGCGAUGAUACUGACAGUACCGGGAGAAUAAGCUCCGGCUAACUCCGUG
This 433-nucleotide ribosomal RNA is filed under the name uncultured bacterium. RNAcentral's name for it is "partial 16S ribosomal RNA". It matches the Rfam family "Bacterial small subunit ribosomal RNA", at positions 29 to 507 of the family's 1533-position model. The record is from RNAcentral.